Molecule: non-coding RNA, 1126 nt
Organism: Biomphalaria pfeifferi
Lineage: Eukaryota; Metazoa; Mollusca; Gastropoda; Planorbidae
Source: the annotation of a GenBank genome assembly
UCUAGCAAAGCGUCGAUAGAAUUCAAGGGAGGAAAAGCAGGUCUCGAAUCCUGGACCUUUGUUACAGUAGUCCAGAGCGCGCACCACAUAACCAGGAAGCCAUCCAUAUCUUGCUUAUAUGAUAACGUUAUUGUCUGACGUCCAAGCAUAACGUUAUUGUCUUGCUGUUGAUGUGACGUCAUUGUCUUGCUGUUGAUGUGACGUCAAUGUCUUGCUGGCGGCUGUUUGACGUUUCUGUCUUGCUGAUGAUAAGACGUUAAUUGUAUUAAUUGUUCCAUAACAUUUAUACCAUGGGGAACUUAAAGUUGUAAAGUUGCGGGAACUUCUUAGCAAGCGGUUUAUUAGUGAAUAGCUAGUCUAACACAUUGUCUGCUUAUUUUUAUUUUGUUUGAUAUGAAAAUAAGGGGAAUAACUGCUACUUAAACAAAGAUGUGGGUGUAUGUAUGGAGUUAAUCCCCUUAUUGCGUUUUGACACGUUUUUUCUCCCACUUCUCAUUCUCGGAUCAAGUUGAAAUUUUGCGUAAUGAUUCAUAGUUGAUGAUAAUAUCCGAAUCAAUCCAAAAAUUAACCAAUUAGUUGAUCAUUUAGUACUUAUUAAUAAAUUUUGUUUUAUAUAACAGAAAGGGAGCUAAACCCUGUGAUUUUCAGAUAAAUGGCAGUAAUCAGCGGUUCUUUCCCUUAAAUAAGCUUUGUUGUUUUUUUUUUAUAAUUUCUAUUGCUUGUUAAAGUUUUUCUAGUAAGUGUCAAGCACUUAAUAAAUAUUGAUAGAGGACAGAACACCUUUCAGUGUAAGGAAGGAAAAUAACAUGAUUUGGCCCCGGUUCGAACUUCCUAUGCUAGUCCGUUAUGUGGCAUUAUGUUACCACUGGGAGAACAUUGUGAAUUAUGAUCUUUUGUAUAGUUUACCUGAAAAAUAGUUGUUAACUCAUUAAUUUUCACUAUCUUUAAAUCUUUCAUUCUCUCUCUCUCUCUCGUUCUUUUUCUACAUCUUAUUAUUUUUUUAAAUCUUUCUCUUUUUAUUCUCUCUUUUUCACUAUUUCUUUUCUCUCUCUUUCUAUCUCUCUCUUAUGUCCGUUCUUUCUUUCUUUCUCUUUCUCGCUUUCUCUUUUUAUUUCUCUCUUUUUCU